GACGAACGCUGGCGGCGUGCUUAACACAUGCAAGUCGAACGGAAAGGCCCUGCUUUUGUUGGGUGCUCGAGUGGCGAACGGGUGAGUAACACGUGAGUAACCUGCCCUUGACUUUGGGAUAACUUCAGGAAACUGGGGCUAAUACCGGAUAGGAGCUCCUGCUGCACGGUGGGGGUUGGAAAGUUUCGGCGGUUGGGGAUGGACUCGCGGCUUAUCAGCUUGUUGGUGGGGUAGUGGCUUACCAAGGCUUUGACGGGUAGCCGGCCUGAGAGGGUGAACGGCCACAAUGGGACUGAGAUACGGCCCAGACUCCUACGGGAGGCAGCAGUGGGAAAUAUUGCACAAUGGGCGGAAGCCUGAUGCAGCAACGCCGCGUGCGGGAUGACGGCCUUCGGGUUGUAAACCGCUUUCGCCUGUGACGAAGCGUGAGUGACGGUAAUGGGUAAAGAAGCACCGGCUAACUACGUG
This 468-nucleotide ribosomal RNA is filed under the name uncultured bacterium. RNAcentral's name for it is "partial 16S ribosomal RNA". It matches the Rfam family "Bacterial small subunit ribosomal RNA", at positions 28 to 507 of the family's 1533-position model. The record is from RNAcentral.